GACGAACGCUGGCGGCGUGCUUAACACAUGCAAGUCGAACGGAAAGGCCCUGCUUUUGUGGGGUGCUCGAGUGGCGAACGGGUGAGUAACACGUGAGUAACCUGCCCUUGACUUUGGGAUAACUUCAGGGAACUGGGGCUAAUACCGGAUAGGAGCUCCUGCUGCAUGGUGGGGGUUGGAAAGUUUCGGCGGUUGGGGAUGGACUCGCGGCUUAUCAGCUUGUUGGUGGGGUAGUGGCUUACCAAGGCUUUGACGGGUAGCCGGCCUGAGAGGGUGACCGGCCACAUUGGGACUGAGAUACGGCCCAGACUCCUACGGGAGGCAGCAGUGGGGAAUAUUGCACAAUGGGCGGAAGCCUGAUGCAGCAACGCCGCGUGCGGGAUGACGGCCUUCGGGUUGUAAACCGCUUUCGCCUGUGACGAAGCGUGAGUGACGGUAAUGGGUAAAGAAGCACCGGCCAACUACGUG
RNAcentral lists this ribosomal RNA (468 nucleotides) under uncultured bacterium. RNAcentral's name for it is "partial 16S ribosomal RNA". It matches the Rfam family "Bacterial small subunit ribosomal RNA", at positions 28 to 507 of the family's 1533-position model. The record is from RNAcentral.